RNAcentral lists this unclassified non-coding RNA (336 nucleotides) under soil metagenome. RNAcentral's name for it is "partial contains 5.8S ribosomal RNA, internal transcribed spacer 2, and large subunit ribosomal RNA". The stretch from base 1 to 120 matches the Rfam family "5.8S ribosomal RNA", at positions 35 to 154 of the family's 154-position model. The record is from RNAcentral.
GAUGAAGAACGUAGCGAAAUGCGAUAAGUAAUGUGAAUUGCAGAAUUCAGUGAAUCAUCGAAUCUUUGAACGCACAUUGCGCCCGCCAGUAUUCUGGCGGGCAUGCCUGUUCGAGCGUCAUUUCAACCAUCAAGCCCCCGGCUUGUGUUGGGGACCUGCGGCUGCCGCAGGCCCUGAAAAGCAGUGGCGGGCUCGCUGUCACACCGAGCGUAGUAGCAUACACCUCGCUCUGGGCGUGCUGCGGGUUCCGGCCGUUAAACCCCCUUCAUAACCCAAGGUUGACCUCGGAUCAGGUAGGAAGACCCGCUGAACUUAAGCAUAUCAAUAAGCGGAGGA